Molecule: small nucleolar RNA, 132 nt
Organism: Mytilus californianus (California mussel)
Lineage: Eukaryota; Metazoa; Mollusca; Bivalvia; Mytilida; Mytilidae
Source: RefSeq, a predicted model, not a curated record
AUGCACAGCCUCUAAUCCACUUGCAUCUUCUCAAAAGUAGGUGGAUUUAAAAACUGUGCAAAAGAAACUGCAGGUAGAAAAAGGAUUCUGAACAUACAUUAUCAGUUUCCCUUGCUUGAUCUGCAAACAUGC